AAAUCACCGCUAUAAUUUUAACGGAGCGCACAUUGCGUUGCGUACAUAAUUAUACCACUUCUCCCUUCCAAGGAGAAAUCAACGCCUAACUCCUUCACGCCAUUCUCUCUCCUCCUUCCUCCCCAAUUUCUUCUCGUCGCCGGCGAAAUCAAGGUGAUUUUCCGCUGUUAUUGAGAUUAUUGUUUCGGAAACGGGCUUAAAUUGGAUAAUUAGGUUUUGAAUUGUUUGUGCUUAAUUGAAGCAGAGUUAGGUGAUUGAUUGAUUAAUUUGAGUAGUAUGAUCAUCAGCUAUGAUUCAAGUAGAAUUGUAGGUGAUGAAGAAUUUGUUUGAGAGAACUGGUACUGCAAAUUCAACAUCUGGUACUAGUUCUUCUUCAAAUUCCCCUAAAUUUAAUUGCAUUUCUUCUAAUUCUUCCGAUCACAAGUCUUCAUCAUCGUCAUCUUCAUCAACUAAGGCUUCUUCGUUGUUGUCUGGAAUUGUUGUUUCCGCUUUCUCGAUUUUCGAGCCUCGUGUGGAGGAGGGUGUAAAUCCGAGUUCGAAUUUGAGUUUGAGUUCGAGUUCUUCUCGUGAGAAGAAGGGGGUUGGAACUAAGACUAAGAUUAGUACUAGUUGUAGUGGUAGUAAUGGGUGGGCGGCUGCUGUAAAGAGGGUCAUGGCGAGUGGAUCGAUGAGGAGGAUUAGGGAGUCCAUGUUUGGGUUUAAUAAGUCUAGUGCUGUCACUUCUACAAGUGAUAUUUGGUUGUUGGGUGUUUGUUAUAAACUUGAUGAUGCAAUUGGUGGUGAUCCUGUUAGUAGCAGUGGCUUUGCUGCAUUUGUCGAGGAUUUCUCAUCGAGGAUUUUGAUGACAUAUAGGAAAGGGUUUGAUGCCAUUGGGGAUUCAAAGUAUACUAGUGAUGUUAAUUGGGGUUGCAUGCUUCGAAGCAGUCAAAUGCUUGUUGCCCAAGUGUUGUUGGUUCAUCGGUUUGGGAGGUCUUGGAGGAAAUCUGUGAAUAAGCAAAUUGAUCAAGGGUACAUUGAAAUCCUACACGAUUUUGGUGAUUCUGAAGAAUCAGCAUUCUCUAUCCACAAGAUUCUAGAAGCUGGCAAGGGUUAUGGCCUUGCUGCUGGGUCAUGGAUAGGUCCCUAUGCCACAUGCCGUGCAUGGGAAACUCUGGCCCGCACUGGUAAAUCAUUGCCAAUGGCAGUCUAUAUUGUUUCUGGUGAUGAAGAUGGUGAACGAGGUGGGGCUCCUGUUGUCUGUGUAGAAGAUGUAUCUGGUUGCUGCCGUGAGCAUUCAUGUGAUGGAGCUGAUUGGACGGCUAUUCUGCUUCUGGUUCCUCUUGUACUUGGUCUUGAUAAACUUAAUCCCAGCAGGUAUGUUCCUUUAUUGGGUGCUACAUUUACGUUUCCUCAAAGUCUUGGCAUUUUGGGUGGGAAGCCUGGUGUUUCAACUUACAUUGUUGGCGUCCAAGAUGAAAAUGUGUUUUAUCUUGAUCCCCAUGAUGUUCAACAGGUGACUAAUAUUACAAAAACUGACCUAGAGGCUGAUACUUCAUCAUUCCACAGCAAUGUGAUCAGGCAUAUUCCUUUGGAGUCUAUUGAUCCCUCAUUAGCGAUUGGAUUUUACUGCAGAGACAAAGAUGACUUUGAUGAUUUCUGCUCCCGAGCUUCUAAGCUAGCCAAUGAGUCAAAUGGCGCUCCUCUAUUUACUGUGACACAGAGCCGUAACUCCCCUAAGACAGCCAGUCAGCAUGAUAUAGGCGCUAGUGAAAACCGCGUAGAUGAUUCAUAUGAUAUGCUGCAUUCAAACGACGGGCAAGAGGACGAUUGGCAACUUCUCUGAAGAUGGAUGGUGCUGAUAGUUUAAAAUCUGAUUGGAACUGAAACAAUUGUGCAGGAGUUUGACAAGUUUACAUGUUUGUUUCGUGUUUGUCCAUUGAUUGUAUUCAACUAUUAUGAGGUUGGUUGAGUUUUAACUUUUAAGGCAUUCGGCUUCCUUUCCAGUCCACCCGUGUUCGACUCCUCAUCCGGUCAUCCCCUUCCUCUUGAGCAUUGCUAUGAUAGUUGUACUUCAUGGUGCUUUGUGUAAUUUAAUUUGUUUUAAGAAGUUGGUUUCUUCAGUGUAAAUAGGGGUUUAAAUUACUUGAAGUUGUUGGUUUUUUCUGUAAAUAAAGGCUUGCAAUAAAUUUUAUUGAUCUAGAAUUGGUACCUAUCCUAUUUAGGUUUUUUUUUCCUCCUUCGAGUAAAUAGGUUUGUUUUAUUACCAUUGCCCUGACACAUUUUUAAGUACAUAAAGACCUUGGCCUUUGUAAACUUGGAGUUUAAGAGUGAUCUUUUCGCUUUUCAGAAUUUAUAAGCCAUGAAUACAAAGAGUAAGUAUUACCCACUACCAUGGUAUGGGUAAUACUACCCAAUACCACAUUUUUUUUUUUCUUUUCCUUUUUUUUCCCCCUUUUCUCUUCAUCUUGUUCCUUACAUAAACCCUUUUCCCCACCUCCAUGGAUAGCUCCCAUUGCCGGCCAAACCUCCGCCCAACACACCUUUCACCUCCGACAGCAAGAAGCCCACCCCACCAGCUACUAUCUUGGUCGAAAUCCAAAAACACGCAACUACCUUCAUUAAAAAUCUCCAGAAACCACCCAAAAAAAUAUAACCCAAAAACU
RNA transcript from Chenopodium quinoa (quinoa), 2642 nucleotides. It is a transcript of the gene named cysteine protease ATG4-like, with no coding region annotated. The transcript has 10 exons. NCBI's taxonomy places the organism in Eukaryota, Viridiplantae, Streptophyta, Magnoliopsida, Caryophyllales, Amaranthaceae. The record is from RefSeq and is a predicted model, not a curated record.